RNAcentral lists this ribosomal RNA (446 nucleotides) under uncultured bacterium. Its description in RNAcentral is "partial 16S ribosomal RNA". It matches the Rfam family "Bacterial small subunit ribosomal RNA", at positions 338 to 795 of the family's 1533-position model. The record is from RNAcentral.
CCUACGGGUGGCAGCAGUCGAGAAUCAUUCACAAUGGGGGAAACCCUGAUGGUGCGACGCCGCGUGGGGGAAUGAAGGUCUUCGGAUUGUAAACCCCUGUCAUGUGGGAGCAAAUUAAAAAGAUAGUACCACAAGAGGAAGAGACGGCUAACUCUGUGCCAGCAACCGCGGUAAUACAGAGGUCUCAAGUGUUGUUCGGAAUCACUGGGCGUAAAGCGUGCGUAGGCUGUUUCGUAAGUCGGGUGUGAAAGGCGCGGGCUCAACCCGCGGACGGCACAUGAUACUGCGAGACUAGAGUAGUGGAGGGGGAACCGGAAUGCUCGGUGUAGCAGUGAAAUGCGUAGAUAUCGAGAGGAACACUCGUGGCGAAGGCGGGUUCCUGGACAUUAACUGACGCUGAGGCACGAAGGCCAGGGGAGCGAAAGGGAUUAGAUACCCUGGUAGUC